AUACGUAGGUGGCAAGCGUUAUCCGGAAUUACUGGGCGUAAAGAGUGCGUAGGUGGCUUUGCAAGCGUAGGGUAUAAGGCGACAGCCCAACUGUCGUUGGCCCCGCGAACUGUAAGGCUUGAGUACAGGAGGGGAAGGCGGAAUUCCUAGUGUAGCGGUGAAAUGCGUAGAUAUUAGGAGGAACACCAGUGGCGAAGGCGGCCUUCUGGACUGUAACUGACACUGAGGCACGAAAGCGUGGGUAGCAAACAGGAUUAGAUACCCUGGUAGUCCACGCCGUAAACGAUGAGCACUAGGUGUCGGGCUCGCAAGAGUUCGGUGCCGGAGCAAACGCAUUAAGUGCUCCGCCUGGGGAGUACGCACGCAAGUGUGAAACUCAAAUGAAUUGACGGGG
This 394-nucleotide ribosomal RNA is filed under the name uncultured bacterium. RNAcentral describes it as "partial 16S ribosomal RNA". It matches the Rfam family "Bacterial small subunit ribosomal RNA", at positions 523 to 918 of the family's 1533-position model. The record is from RNAcentral.